UUAUCCGAAACGUCGGUUCGUACAAGAUCUAAACGGCGCCACAUCCCAGAAUGCGGCAUUCUUCAACAAUUACGCUGUUCAACAGUAAUUUUACAGAUCUUCCAAAAACUGUGGGUCUCUAUAUUCGGACAUAGAUGAUGCCACAGUUAAAAAUACUAGCUCUAUCAUUCUUGACCUCGGCAGUAAUGGAGGUGAGUGUUCAGCUUCACGUUCCUGCCGCUUUACAACCGGAGAAGAAACCUCCUGUACCCAAUGGAUGAGAGGCUGGGUGGGCCUCAUAUUCGGUCUAGUCGCUGCAGGAAAGAGAAGUAUCUCUUCCACUGUCGGGAAUCGAACCCCAGUUGUCCAGCCAGUAUCCCACCGACUGAGCUCUCAUGGCUUCCGAUAAACAAGAAGGAACAAAAUAUAAUUGUAAGCUACAGCUGGACUAAGCGAAGUGUACACUGAAGACGGACAGGAGUUCACAUGGUCCGCAAGUUCGUACAAUGGGUGUCCUGGCGAGCGUCUUAUACAAUGAGCACCGGAGGAUCUUUCCCAGGGAGUAAAGCGGCCGAGGCGUGAGGCUAAUCAUUCACCUGCAUCUAGUGCUGAGGUCAA
Cryptotermes secundus is the source of this 597-nucleotide long non-coding RNA. RefSeq lists it as uncharacterized. Lineage: Eukaryota; Metazoa; Arthropoda; Insecta; Blattodea; Kalotermitidae. The record is from RefSeq and is a predicted model, not a curated record. The transcript is spliced from 3 exons.